Molecule: ribosomal RNA, 122 nt
Filed under: Ipomoea trifida
Lineage: Eukaryota; Viridiplantae; Streptophyta; Magnoliopsida; Solanales; Convolvulaceae
Source: RNAcentral
GGAUGCGAUCAUACCAGCACUAAUGCACCGGAUCCCAUCAGAACUCCGAAGUUAAGCGUGUUUGGGUGAGAGUAGUACUAGGAUGGGUGACCCCCUGGGAAGUCCUCGUGUUGCAUCCCCCA